RNAcentral lists this ribosomal RNA (1240 nucleotides) under metagenome. Its description in RNAcentral is "bacterial LSU rRNA". It matches the Rfam family "Bacterial large subunit ribosomal RNA", at positions 1564 to 2814 of the family's 2925-position model. The record is from RNAcentral.
UGAAUACGAGACGCUACGGCGUCGAAGCAGUCUAUGUCAUACUUCCAAGAAAAGCUUGCACUGUCAUAAACAAAUAAUGCCUGUACCAUAACCGACACAGGUGGGUAGGUAGAGUAUACUAAGGGGCGCGAGAUAACUCUCUCUAAGGAACUCGGCAAAAUGACUCCGUAACUUCGGGAGAAGGAGUGCCUUAUUCGUAAGGUUGCAAUAACAAGAUCCAAGCAACUGUUUAUCAAAAACACAGGUCUCCGCUAAGUCGUAAGACGAUGUAUGGGGGCUGACGCCUGCCCAGUGCCAGAAGGUUAAAGAAGUUGGUUAGCAUUCCCGAAGCUGAUAACUGAAGCCCUGGUGAACGGCGGCCGUAACGAUAACGGUCCUAAGGUAGCGAAAUUCCUUGUCGGGUAAGUUCCGACCCGCACGAAAGGCGUAAUGAUUUGGAUACUGUCUCGGAGAGAGGCUCGGUGAAAUAGACUUGUCUGUGAAGAUGCGGACUACCUGCACCUGGACAGAAAGACCCUAUGAAGCUUUACUGUAACUUGAAAUUGAAAUUGGACUUUAUUUGCGCAGUAUAGGUGGGAGGCGUUGAGAAUAUUCUUGCGGGAAUAUUGGAGCCAUCAGUGAGAUACCACUCUUGUAAUGUUAGAUUUCUAACUUUGGAUCAUUAUCUGGUCAAAGGACAGUUUCAGGCGGGCAGUUUGACUGGGGCGGUCGCCUCCCAAACGGUAACGGAGGCGUACAAAGGUUUCCUCUGAACGGGUAGAAAUCGUAUCUAGAGUGUAAAGGCAUAAGGAAGCUUGACUGUGAGACCUACAAGUCGAGCAGGGACGAAAGUCGGUCUUAGUGAUCUGACGGUGCUGAGUGGAAAGGCCGUCACUCAACGGAUAAAAGUUACUCUAGGAUAACAGGCUGAUCUCCCCCAAGAGUUCACAUCGACGGGGAGGUUUGGCACCUCGAUGUCGGCUCAUCGCAUCCUGGGGCGGUAGUACGUCCCAAGGGUUGGGCUGUUCGCCCAUGAAAGCGGUACGCGAGCUGGGUUCAGAACGUCGUGAGACAGUUCGGUCCAUAUCCGGUGUAGGCGUUAGAAUAUUGAGAGGAGCCUUCUUUAGUACGAGAGGACCGAGAAGGACAUACCUCUGGUGUACCAGUUAUCGUGCCAACGGUAAACGCUGGGUAGCUAUGUAUGGAGAGGAUAACCGCUGAAAGCAUCUAAGUGGGAAGCCCACCUCAAGAUAAGUAUUCU